GGUGGGGUGCCCGAGCGGCUAAAGGGAGCAGACUGUAAAUCUGCCGUCAAACGACUACGGUGGUUCGAAUCCAUCCCCCACCACCA
RNAcentral lists this transfer RNA (86 nucleotides) under Deltaproteobacteria bacterium. RNAcentral's name for it is "tRNA-Tyr". It matches the Rfam family "tRNA". From Rfam's summary of the family: Transfer RNA (tRNA) molecules are approximately 80 nucleotides in length. The record is from RNAcentral. Lineage: Bacteria; Pseudomonadati; Myxococcota; Myxococcia.